Molecule: ribosomal RNA, 253 nt
Filed under: uncultured Bacteroides sp.
Lineage: Bacteria; Pseudomonadati; Bacteroidota; Bacteroidia; Bacteroidales; Bacteroidaceae
Description: partial 16S ribosomal RNA
Rfam family: Bacterial small subunit ribosomal RNA
Source: RNAcentral
UACGGAGGAUCCGAGCGUUAUCCGGAUUUAUUGGGUUUAAAGGGAGCGUAGGUGGAUUGUUAAGUCAGUUGUGAAAGUUUGCGGCUCAACCGUAAAAUUGCAGUUGAAACUGGCAGUCUUGAGUACAGUAGAGGUGGGCGGAAUUCGUGGUGUAGCGGUGAAAUGCAUAGAUAUAACUUAGAACACCGAUAGCGAAGGCAGCUUACAAGACUGAGUCUGACGCUGAUGCACGAGAGCAUGGGUAGCGAACGGG